GGUUAAGCGACUAAGCGUACACGGUGGAUGCCCUGGCAGUCAGAGGCGAUGAAGGACGUGCUAAUCUGCGAUAAGCGUCGGUAAGGUGAUAUGAACCGUUAUAACCGGCGAUUUCCGAAUGGGGAAACCCAGUGUGAUUCGUCACACUAUCAUUAACUGAAUCCAUAGGUUAAUGAGGCGAACCGGGGGAACUGAAACAUCUAAGUACCCCGAGGAAAAGAAAUCAACCGAGAUUCCCCCAGUAGCGGCGAGCGAACGGGGAGCAGCCCAGAGCCUGAAUCAGUGUGUGUGUUAGUGGAAGCGUCUGGAAAGGCGCGCGAUACAGGGUGACAGUCCCGUACACAAAAAUGCACAUGCUGUGAGCUCGAUGAGUAGGGCGGGACACGUGGUAUCCUGUCUGAAUAUGGGGGGACCAUCCUCCAAGGCUAAAUACUCCUGACUGACCGAUAGUGAACCAGUACCGUGAGGGAAAGGCGAAAAGAACCCCGGCGAGGGGAGUGAAAAAGAACCUGAAACCGUGUACGUACAAGCAGUGGGAGCACGCUUAGGCGUGUGACUGCGUACCUUUUGUAUAAUGGGUCAGCGACUUAUAUUCUGUAGCAAGGUUAACCGAAUAGGGGAGCCGAAGGGAAACCGAGUCUUAACUGGGCGUUAAGUUGCAGGGUAUAGACCCGAAACCCGGUGAUCUAGCCAUGGGCAGGUUGAAGGUUGGGUAACACUAACUGGAGGACCGAACCGACUAAUGUUGAAAAAUUAGCGGAUGACUUGUGGCUGGGGGUGAAAGGCCAAUCAAACCGGGAGAUAGCUGGUUCUCCCCGAAAGCUAUUUAGGUAGCGCCUCGUGAAUUCAUCUCCGGGGGUAGAGCACUGUUUCGGCAAGGGGGUCAUCCCGACUUACCAACCCGAUGCAAACUGCGAAUACCGGAGAAUGUUAUCACGGGAGACACACGGCGGGUGCUAACGUCCGUCGUGAAGAGGGAAACAACCCAGACCGCCAGCUAAGGUCCCAAAGUCAUGGUUAAGUGGGAAACGAUGUGGGAAGGCCCAGACAGCCAGGAUGUUGGCUUAGAAGCAGCCAUCAUUUAAAGAAAGCGUAAUAGCUCACUGGUCGAGUCGGCCUGCGCGGAAGAUGUAACGGGGCUAAACCAUGCACCGAAGCUGCGGCAGCGACGCUGAUGUGUUGUUGGGUAGGGGAGCGUUCUGUAAGCCUGCGAAGGUGUGCUGUGAGGCAUGCUGGAGGUAUCAGAAGUGCGAAUGCUGACAUAAGUAACGAUAAAGCGGGUGAAAAGCCCGCUCGCCGGAAGACCAAGGGUUCCUGUCCAACGUUAAUCGGGGCAGGGUGAGUCGACCCCUAAGGCGAGGCCGAAAGGCGUAGUCGAUGGGAAACAGGUUAAUAUUCCUGUACUUGGUGUUACUGCGAAGGGGGGACGGAGAAGGCUAUGUUGGCCGGGCGACGGUUGUCCCGGUUUAAGCGUGUAGGCUGGUUUUCCAGGCAAAUCCGGAAAAUCAAGGCUGAGGCGUGAUGACGAGGCACUACGGUGCUGAAGCAACAAAUGCCCUGCUUCCAGGAAAAGCCUCUAAGCAUCAGGUAACAUCAAAUCGUACCCCAAACCGACACAGGUGGUCAGGUAGAGAAUACCAAGGCGCUUGAGAGAACUCGGGUGAAGGAACUAGGCAAAAUGGUGCCGUAACUUCGGGAGAAGGCACGCUGAUAUGUAGGUGAAGUCCCUCGCGGAUGGAGCUGAAAUCAGUCGAAGAUACCAGCUGGCUGCAACUGUUUAUUAAAAACACAGCACUGUGCAAACACGAAAGUGGACGUAUACGGUGUGACGCCUGCCCGGUGCCGGAAGGUUAAUUGAUGGGGUUAGCGCAAGCGAAGCUCUUGAUCGAAGCCCCGGUAAACGGCGGCCGUAACUAUAACGGUCCUAAGGUAGCGAAAUUCCUUGUCGGGUAAGUUCCGACCUGCACGAAUGGCGUAAUGAUGGCCAGGCUGUCUCCACCCGAGACUCAGUGAAAUUGAACUCGCUGUGAAGAUGCAGUGUACCCGCGGCAAGACGGAAAGACCCCGUGAACCUUUACUAUAGCUUGACACUGAACAUUGAGCCUUGAUGUGUAGGAUAGGUGGGAGGCUUUGAAGUGUGGACGCCAGUCUGCAUGGAGCCGACCUUGAAAUACCACCCUUUAAUGUUUGAUGUUCUAACGUUGACCCGUAAUCCGGGUUGCGGACAGUGUCUGGUGGGUAGUUUGACUGGGGCGGUCUCCUCCUAAAGAGUAACGGAGGAGCACGAAGGUUGGCUAAUCCUGGUCGGACAUCAGGAGGUUAGUGCAAUGGCAUAAGCCAGCUUGACUGCGAGCGUGACGGCGCGAGCAGGUGCGAAAGCAGGUCAUAGUGAUCCGGUGGUUCUGAAUGGAAGGGCCAUCGCUCAACGGAUAAAAGGUACUCCGGGGAUAACAGGCUGAUACCGCCCAAGAGUUCAUAUCGACGGCGGUGUUUGGCACCUCGAUGUCGGCUCAUCACAUCCUGGGGCUGAAGUAGGUCCCAAGGGUAUGGCUGUUCGCCAUUUAAAGUGGUACGCGAGCUGGGUUUAGAACGUCGUGAGACAGUUCGGUCCCUAUCUGCCGUGGGCGCUGGAGAACUGAGGGGGGCUGCUCCUAGUACGAGAGGACCGGAGUGGACGCAUCACUGGUGUUCGGGUUGUCAUGCCAAUGGCACUGCCCGGUAGCUAAAUGCGGAAGAGAUAAGUGCUGAAAGCAUCUAAGCACGAAACUUGCCCCGAGAUGAGUUCUCCCUGACUCCUUGAGAGUCCUGAAGGAACGUUGAAGACGACGACGUUGAUAGGCCGGGUGUGUAAGCGCAGCGAUGCGUUGAGCUAACCGGUACUAAUGAACCGUGAGGCUUAACCUU
Molecule: ribosomal RNA, 2904 nt
Filed under: Escherichia coli
Lineage: Bacteria; Pseudomonadati; Pseudomonadota; Gammaproteobacteria; Enterobacterales; Enterobacteriaceae
Description: 23S ribosomal RNA
Rfam family: Bacterial large subunit ribosomal RNA
Source: RNAcentral